RNAcentral lists this ribosomal RNA (511 nucleotides) under Salmonella enterica. RNAcentral's name for it is "bacterial LSU rRNA". It matches the Rfam family "Bacterial large subunit ribosomal RNA", at positions 1132 to 1645 of the family's 2925-position model. Lineage: Bacteria; Pseudomonadati; Pseudomonadota; Gammaproteobacteria; Enterobacterales; Enterobacteriaceae. The record is from RNAcentral.
GCGUAAUAGCUCACUGGUCGAGUCGGCCUGCGCGGAAGAUGUAACGGGGCUAAACCAUGCACCGAAGCUGCGGCAGCGACACUGUGUGUUGUUGGGUAGGGGAGCGUUCUGUAAGCCUGUGAAGGUGGCCUGUGAGGGUUGCUGGAGGUAUCAGAAGUGCGAAUGCUGACAUAAGUAACGAUAAAGCGGGUGAAAAGCCCGCUCGCCGGAAGACCAAGGGUUCCUGUCCAACGUUAAUCGGGGCAGGGUGAGUCGACCCCUAAGGCGAGGCCGAAAGGCGUAGUCGAUGGGAAACGGGUUAAUAUUCCCGUACUUGGUGUUACUGCGAAGGGGGGACGGAGAAGGCUAUGUUGGCCGGGCGACGGUUGUCCCGGUUUAAGCGUGUAGGCUGGUUUUCCAGGCAAAUCCGGAAAAUCAAGGCUGAGGCGUGACGACGAGGCACUACGGUGCUGAAGCAACAAAUGCCCUGCUUCCAGGAAAAGCCUCUAAGCAUCAGGUAACAUCAAAUCGU